This 3113-nucleotide ribosomal RNA is filed under the name Salmonella enterica subsp. enterica serovar Typhimurium. Its description in RNAcentral is "23S ribosomal RNA". It matches the Rfam family "Bacterial large subunit ribosomal RNA". The record is from RNAcentral. Lineage: Bacteria; Pseudomonadati; Pseudomonadota; Gammaproteobacteria; Enterobacterales; Enterobacteriaceae.
GGGUUGUGAGGUUAAGCGACUAAGCGUACACGGUGGAUGCCCUGGCAGUCAGAGGCGAUGAAGGGCGUGCUAAUCUGCGAUAAGCGCCGGUAAGGUGAUAUGAACCGUUAUAACCGGCGAUACCCGAAUGGGGAAACCCAGUGUGAUUCGUCACACUAUCAUUAACUGAAUCCAUAGGUUAAUGAGGCGAACCGGGGGAACUGAAACAUCUAAGUACCCCGAGGAAAAGAAAUCAACCGAGAUUCCCCCAGUAGCGGCGAGCGAACGGGGAGGAGCCCAGAGCCUGAAUCAGCAUGUGUGUUAGUGGAAGCGUCUGGAAAGGUGCGCGAUACAGGGUGACAGCCCCGUACACAAAAGCGCAUGUGCUGUGAGCUCGAUGAGUAGGGCGGGACACGUGGUAUCCUGUCUGAAUAUGGGGGGACCAUCCUCCAAGGCUAAAUACUCCUGACUGACCGAUAGUGAACCAGUACCGUGAGGGAAAGGCGAAAAGAACCCCGGCGAGGGGAGUGAAAAAGAACCUGAAACCGUGUACGUACAAGCAGUGGGAGCCCCACCACCAAAGCAUUCUCUGGUGUUGAAGGCCCUGCAAAGCAGCAUCGCGGUGGCGGAGCGUCGUUUGCGACGCCCAACACACAAAACAAGCGGUGAAUGCUUUGGGGUGGGGUGACUGCGUACCUUUUGUAUAAUGGGUCAGCGACUUAUAUUCUGUAGCAAGGUUAACCGAAUAGGGGAGCCGGAGGGAAACCGAGUCUUAAUUGGGCGUUAAGUUGCAGGGUAUAGACCCGAAACCCGGUGAUCUAGCCAUGGGCAGGUUGAAGGUUGGGUAACACUAACUGGAGGACCGAACCGACUAAUGUUGAAAAAUUAGCGGAUGACCUGUGGCUGGGGGUGAAAGGCCAAUCAAACCGGGAGAUAGCUGGUUCUCCCCGAAAGCUAUUUAGGUAGCGCCUCGUGAAUUCAUCUCCGGGGGUAGAGCACUGUUUCGGCUAGGGGGCCAUCCCGGCUUACCAACCCGAUGCAAACUGCGAAUACCGGAGAAUGUUAUCACGGGAGACACACGGCGGGUGCUAACGUCCGUCGUGAAGAGGGAAACAACCCAGACCGCCAGCUAAGGUCCCAAAGUCAUGGUUAAGUGGGAAACGAUGUGGGAAGGCCCAGACAGCCAGGAUGUUGGCUUAGAAGCAGCCAUCAUUUAAAGAAAGCGUAAUAGCUCACUGGUCGAGUCGGCCUGCGCGGAAGAUGUAACGGGGCUAAACCAUGCACCGAAGCUGCGGCAGCGAACGUAUCACCCAAGACAACUUUACGGAGUUGACGAUUGACGGAGCGAAGCGACGUCAAAGCGUUCAUUAAAGUCGAGUUGGCUUAGGGAUACGUUCGUUGGGUAGGGGAGCGUUCUGUAAGCCUGUGAAGGUGUGUCGUGAGGCAUGCUGGAGGUAUCAGAAGUGCGAAUGCUGACAUAAGUAACGAUAAAGCGGGUGAAAAGCCCGCUCGCCGGAAGACCAAGGGUUCCUGUCCAACGUUAAUCGGGGCAGGGUGAGUCGACCCCUAAGGCGAGGCCGAAAGGCGUAGUCGAUGGGAAACGGGUUAAUAUUCCCGUACUUGGUGUUACUGCGAAGGGGGGACGGAGAAGGCUAUGUUGGCCGGGCGACGGUUGUCCCGGUUUAAGCGUGUAGGUGUGUGUUCCAGGUAAAUCCGGUUCACUUUAACACUGAGGCGUGACGACGAGGCACUACGGUGCUGAAGCAACAAAUGCCCUGCUUCCAGGAAAAGCCUCUAAGCAUCAGGUAACAUCAAAUCGUACCCCAAACCGACACAGGUGGUCAGGUAGAGAAUACCAAGGCGCUUGAGAGAACUCGGGUGAAGGAACUAGGCAAAAUGGUGCCGUAACUUCGGGAGAAGGCACGCUGACACGUAGGUGAAGUGAUUUACUCAUGGAGCUGAAGUCAGUCGAAGAUACCAGCUGGCUGCAACUGUUUAUUAAAAACACAGCACUGUGCAAACACGAAAGUGGACGUAUACGGUGUGACGCCUGCCCGGUGCCGGAAGGUUAAUUGAUGGGGUCAGCGCAAGCGAAGCUCCUGAUCGAAGCCCCGGUAAACGGCGGCCGUAACUAUAACGGUCCUAAGGUAGCGAAAUUCCUUGUCGGGUAAGUUCCGACCUGCACGAAUGGCGUAAUGAUGGCCAGGCUGUCUCCACCCGAGACUCAGUGAAAUUGAACUCGCUGUGAAGAUGCAGUGUACCCGCGGCAAGACGGAAAGACCCCGUGAACCUUUACUAUAGCUUGACACUGAACAUUGAGCCUUGAUGUGUAGGAUAGGUGGGAGGCUUUGAAGUGUGGACGCCAGUCUGCAUGGAGCCGACCUUGAAAUACCACCCUUUAAUGUUUGAUGUUCUAACGUGGACCCGUAAUCCGGGUUGCGGACAGUGUCUGGUGGGUAGUUUGACUGGGGCGGUCUCCUCCUAAAGAGUAACGGAGGAGCACGAAGGUUGGCUAAUCCUGGUCGGACAUCAGGAGGUUAGUGCAAUGGCAUAAGCCAGCUUGACUGCGAGCGUGACGGCGCGAGCAGGUGCGAAAGCAGGUCAUAGUGAUCCGGUGGUUCUGAAUGGAAGGGCCAUCGCUCAACGGAUAAAAGGUACUCCGGGGAUAACAGGCUGAUACCGCCCAAGAGUUCAUAUCGACGGCGGUGUUUGGCACCUCGAUGUCGGCUCAUCACAUCCUGGGGCUGAAGUAGGUCCCAAGGGUAUGGCUGUUCGCCAUUUAAAGUGGUACGCGAGCUGGGUUUAGAACGUCGUGAGACAGUUCGGUCCCUAUCUGCCGUGGGCGCUGGAGAACUGAGGGGGGCUGCUCCUAGUACGAGAGGACCGGAGUGGACGCAUCACUGGUGUUCGGGUUGUCAUGCCAAUGGCACUGCCCGGUAGCUAAAUGCGGAAGAGAUAAGUGCUGAAAGCAUCUAAGCACGAAACUUGCCCCGAGAUGAGUUCUCCCUGAGACUUAGAGUCUCCUGAAGGAACGUUGAAGACGACGACGUUGAUAGGCCGGGUGUGUAAGCGCAGCGAUGCGUUGAGCUAACCGGUACUAAUGAACCGUGAGGCUUAACCUUACAACGCCGAAG